AUGCUCACUUCAGCAGUAUAUAUACUAAAAUUGGAAUGAUACAGAGAAGAUUAGCAUCACCCCUGCACAAGGAUGACAUGCAAAUUCAUGAAGUGCUCCAUAUUUAU
This 107-nucleotide small nuclear RNA is filed under the name Tupaia belangeri (northern tree shrew). The record is from RNAcentral. Lineage: Eukaryota; Metazoa; Chordata; Mammalia; Scandentia; Tupaiidae.